RNAcentral lists this ribosomal RNA (565 nucleotides) under uncultured bacterium. Its description in RNAcentral is "bacterial SSU rRNA". It matches the Rfam family "Bacterial small subunit ribosomal RNA", at positions 338 to 917 of the family's 1533-position model. The record is from RNAcentral.
CCUACGGGAGGCAGCAGUAGGGAAUUUUCCGCAAUGGGCGAAAGCCUGACGGAGCAAUACCGCGUGAGGGAUGACGGCCUGUGGGUUGUAAACCUCUUUUCUCAAGGAAGAAGUUCUGACGGUACUUGAGGAAUAAGCAUCGGCUAACUCUGUGCCAGCAGCCGCGGUAAUACAGAGGAUGCAAGCGUUAUCCGGAAUCACUGGGCAUAAAGCGUCUGUAGGUUGUUUAGUAAGUCUGCUGUUAAAGACUGGGGCUUAACCCCAGAAAAGCAGUGGAAACUGCUAGACUCGAGUGUGGUAGAGGUAGAGGGAAUUCCUAGUGUAGCGGUGAAAUGCGUAGAUAUUAGGAAGAACACCAAUGGCGAAGGCACUCUACUGGGCCAUAACUGACACUGAGAGACGACAGCUAGGGGAGCAAACGGGAUUAGAUACCCCGGUAGUCCUAGCCGUAAACGAUGGAUACUAGAUGUUGCACGUAUUAACCCGUGCAGUAUCGUAGCUAAGGCGUUAAGUAUCCCGCCUGGGAAGUACGCUCGCAAGAGUGAAACUCAAAUGAAUUGACCGG